UACAGAGGGUGCAAGCGUUAAUCGGAAUUACUGGGCGUAAAGGGUGUGUAGGUGGUUAUGUAAGUUAGAUGUGAAAUCCCCGGGCUUAACCUGGGAACUGCGUUUAAAACUGCGUAGCUAGAGUAUUGCAGAGGGUAGUGGAAUUUCCAGUGUAGCGGUGAAAUGCGUAGAUAUUGGAAGGAACACCAGUGGCGAAGGCGACUACCUGGGCAAAUACUGACACUGAGACACGAAAGCGUGGGGAGCAAACAGG
This 253-nucleotide ribosomal RNA is filed under the name uncultured bacterium. RNAcentral describes it as "partial 16S ribosomal RNA". It matches the Rfam family "Bacterial small subunit ribosomal RNA", at positions 524 to 776 of the family's 1533-position model. The record is from RNAcentral.